UUUAAGUAAUUCUUAUUCUACUUGUGGCAGUGAUUUUCCUCCCCUGUUUUCCAAUUAUUUUGUAGCAGAAAACCACCUGGCAGUUUUAAGGUUUUCUCCAUCCCUAAAAUGUCUUUGUAUUACAUGCAAACAAUUACUGAGAAGUAUGAUGUUGGCUUGGUUUUAUUUUUCCUCAAAGGUGAAGCAGAUUAACUGAUUUUAAAGUUCUCUGGGUCUUUUUAUAAGUCCUUCAGAAGAAAUGCUAAGAGUUUAUAGCUGGGAUCACUUUAAUAUUAAGUAUACUCAAGUCACUCAGAAAUUUUAAGUCCAAGCAUUUUUCUUAAUGAUGUGCUAUCAGAAAGACAUUGGGAUACAUAGUUGAAGGAUGGCAACCUACAAACUUUGCUAUAUUUGAAUCAGAGGAGCAAAUCCCAGCUUUAGGAAUCUGGUUGUGGAACAGUAGUACAAUUAGAUGAGUGAUCAGCACUUUGUCACCAGGCUGGAGUGCAGUGGCGCAAUCUCCACUCACUGCAACCUCUGCCUUCCAGCUUCAAGCGAUUCUCCUGCCUCAGCCUCCCAAGUAGCUGGGAUUACAGGUGCAUGCCACCAUGCCCAGCCAUGUUUCUAUGAAUUUUCUUAUUCAACCAUACUUUUGUUAUCCAUUUUGUUCACUCAAUAAUGGAUGGAGAUUGUAGUUUUCUUUGCAGUAAUGAUUCUGUCUCUUUUUUGGUCUCAGGGUUAUAUUGACCUCAUAGAAUAAAUUGGAAAGUGUUCCCUCCUCUUUUAUUUUUUGGUUUAUAAGACAGCCUUAGCUUUCACUUCCUGCUUGUACAGACGUGAGCCACCAUGCCCGGACUAUUUUUUUUUUUUCUUCUUAAAAAACAAACACAAAAUGGAAAAUAAGUUGCUUUUCAUUGGUGGCACAGUUUUCCCCCAUUCAUUAAGUUACAUAAAUAUUUUGCCAUAUUCAUUAUAUUGCAAAUGACAUUUCCUGUUCAUAGGCUUUUGGCUUAAUAUUUAAUUAUUCAAUUUUUGACCUAGGCUAAAAUAGAAAAAAAGGCAAUAUAUGAAAGGUGUAGCAGGAGAAAUAUGUAUGUGAACAUAGCAGUAAAUUAUCUUAAGAAGCUAAGAGAUCAAGGUAAUUUAUUUUUUUCAAUUAAUCAAGUGAUAAAACCUGUAAUUAGUACCUGACCCUGAAUCAAGAAUGUAUGGCAUGAAUUCAAAUAAUAUAGAAAAACAUAAAGAGUAAAAAGCAGCCAAGACAACUCUUUCAUAUUUCUUAUUUAGACCUUUCUAUGUAUUACUACAGAGAUGUAUAUAGUUUUAAAAUUUUUAGUGAAUAUGAUAAUUUUAUAUAUACAGUAUGUCUAGCUAUUUUCACUGAAUAAGGUAUCAGAGGCCUUGUCAGUUAAUCUAGAAUCUGUACACCUUGCCAAAGCUUAUCAUUUAGCCUCUGUCAGACUGCAAUGGUGUAGAGCAAAAAUGAAGUUAGUUUUUUUUCUUUUCUUUUCGAGACACGGUGAGGCUCUGUUGCCCAGGCUGGAGUGCAGGGGUUCAAUCCUUCGCCUCCCUUUCCCAUGAAAAUAGAAAUGGUUUGCAAGUUGUUACAGUUGUGGUAAAUUAUAAUAUAAAACAUAUUGACUCAAAUUUAGACAUAAUCCAUUAUACAAAAUGUAUUAAUUUGAGCAAAUAUCAAGUCUUGACAUUUUUAAUAGUUCAGUAGAUUUAACUUUUUUCCCAACCAAAGAGUAUCUAGCAAAUUCUGUUAGAGUUUUAAAUAAGAAAAUAGAUACAAUUCUAAAAGAAUCCGUAAAAAUGAGGGGCUCUUGGUCUGGGUUAGUGAUGUUGGAAAUGGAACCUGAACUUGAACUCUUUUGCCAUGAGAGACUUGUCGUGUUUCCCUCUGUGGUCCUUGAUUAUAAGCAUUUGUUGUAUCCCUGUAGCUUCUCCUGUUACUCUGUAAUCACACUGGGUAUGUGCUUCCCACAGGAUCAAGCAUGCAAAGGCAAGUCUCCACAUUGGCUCAUUUACCUUUUCUCUCCCAUCUCAUCUGGAAUAAUCCUACUUCAUGUUUUGUUUCGGCACCUAAGAAGCUCUGUUCAUGUUCAUGACCACAAAGAAAACCUAAAGGGCUUUGUGAAGACUUUUGUCAAGUUCCCACCUGCUGAUGGUAAUCACCGUGUGUUUGCAGUAAGUCUCUUCUGGCUUGUAGGGUUUCUACAGAGAGAUCCGCUGUUAGUCUGAUCGGCUUCCGUGUAUGCAUCACAAAGUUCUCGUACUGUGCAUUUCUCAGCUCCAUCAGGUCAUUUAUGUUCUUCUCUAAACUGGUUAUUCUAGUUAGCAAUUCUGUCCCAGGGAGAUGGGGGUUUUAUCUAUAAGUCCUAACUGGGGCUGCUGCCUUUUUUUCAGAGAUGAUCUGCUGAGAGAGGAGGAAUCUAGAGAGGCAGUCUGGCCGCAGCGGCCUUGUUGAACUGCGGUUGGCUCCGCCCAGUUUGAACUUCCCAGUGGGUUUGUUUACCCCGUGAGGGGGAAACCCCAUACUCAAGCCUCAGAUUUCUCAGGAACCAUUCUAUCCUGCAUGUCCUCCAGACCAGAAAAUUUCAAAACAUUGCAUUUCCUCAUUCCUAGUAGGGACACUGUGCUAGGAUGCCCCAAAGUGGUACCUGCUGCGGGAGUUCCCCACUCCCUCCUUCUCCCGUGCAGCUUCUUGAUCAUUUCUCCUCUUCUUGUGCUCUUCUUCAUAUGCCUGUUGGUCAUACGUAUAUCUUAUUUUGUGAAAUGAUUUAUUCAGGCCCUUUCUCUAUUUUUUCAAUUAUUUGUUUUCUUACUAUUGAGUUGUUUGCAUUCCUUAUGUAAAGAGUUUGAGAAGAAUUGGUAUUAUUUCUUCCCUAAAUGUUUGAUAGAAUUCACCAGUGAAGGCAUCAGGUGCUAGGC
RNAcentral lists this long non-coding RNA (2913 nucleotides) under Homo sapiens (human). RNAcentral describes it as "non-protein coding lnc-EQTN-1:2". Lineage: Eukaryota; Metazoa; Chordata; Mammalia; Primates; Hominidae. The record is from RNAcentral.